ACUCCUUCCCAGGGUGCCAGGGCACGGCCCCCUUUGCCUUUGCCCAGGGGAGAGGAAGUUUAGCACCUCACACUGACUGCAGAACGUUAAGGCUGCUCAGACCAUUUCCCCACAGCACCAGAUGCCCAUUUGUCCCCAGCAGUGACAACCUCAGUGACAACCUGGAAGGGUUUUUCAGGACACUGCCAGACAAAUGUGAGCUACCUGAACUGUUCCAGCUCAGUCUCCUCAAGCUUUGCAGGGUGUGAAGCAUCUCCCAGAGCAACUGCAGUGCUGAGGUAACCUGAGAAAGCUUCAGAGAGUGCUAAAAAUACCCCUGCUGCACUCGUGGGCAGCCAUGGGAUCCCUGUGGAUGCUCCCCAGGUGCUGCCAGCCUGCCCUGCUCCUCACCCUCAGCCUUCAGGCAGAAUUUUGCUUAAAAACAAAUGAAAAAUAUAAAGAAGUAAAACACUUCAAAGACUGAGAGAUGGGAAGUUCCUUUCUUAGAGAGUAAGAAACACCGUAGGAGACAUUAAGAAGCAACACAGCGGUAAUCCCUGCUGGGAUGAGUGGGAAAUGCAUUUCUGAAGGAGAAAUAACGACAGUGGAACAGCCUCUGCUCAGAGUCAGUGCCCUGAUGUGCACUCCUUUGUCCCACUGAGCAAGCACACAGAACAUUGCAGUGGUUUUGGGGGUGUCUCUAAUCUAAACAAUAGGAGAGAUGAAGGUGGGUGUGGGAGAGAAAGGGCACAGGGCGACAACACGAGGCUGAGCUUCCCAGACCCAGGCUGCCUGCAAAGGAACGGGCAAUAACACAGCCCAGAGCAAGCUUCCAGUGCUGUGGGGAUGUGCCCAGGCCUUUGCAAGGCUCCCAGCAGUGCCAGAGGGCAGAGAGAACCCUCCCAUCACCCAGCACACCCACUCGACCCCCACAAUGCCCCGCAGGACUGAGCCUCGUACAUUCAAACAACCCCCCCAACCCAACCAGUCAAUCAAUAACAAAUAAACAGAAUGCUGCAUAUGCCAAACCCACAGAAAAGGGACUUUAUGCCUGAAUCUGAAAGCUCAUUUCACACACAGACCGGUCAUCCAGCGCCGGCCUCCUGCCAAGCAAUGGAUCCAUGGAAUCCACACUGGUGGGCACUAAUGGAUCUCACUGCAUUAUCCUGCAACUCUCCCCAGCAGUGCCUAUGAUCAAUUUGUUGUGAUGUAUGGAAGGGGCUUUAGGACUUAUUUUGCUUGGGGAAGGAUUUAUAGAUCUGUUAGAGACUGGCCAGACUUAAUGCUGUACUUUGGGAAAGGAAAUGAAGGAGGAAGGAGAAGGGGCAAUAAAGCAGAUUGGAGCAGUGCUGGGUUAGGAUAAAUUCACUCAGUCAGCUUUGGGGGUUUAUAAGUCAGAGUAUCCUGUUUCUUUACUAACUGCAGCACCAGCAAAGGUUUUGGUCAGUUUGGAACAGUAAAACAGAAAUAUUGCCAUUAAGAGGCUGAGAAAAUGAGCACAGUGUACAUGUAAAGCCUCCUGAACACAAGGAACUCCAAACCUCCUGCGAAUGGCGCUGCUCCCGGAGUUCAAGCCCUGCUCCAGGCACUGUGUGUCCUCCACAGCUCCUCUGUGCCAUAUGCAGCACAGUUCUGCCUCCCUUCAUGAGAAUGAAACACUUGUGAACACACUGCUUCAAGCAGCCAGUGUUCUCAGCACAUGUUGGGAGGAGACUGAAAAUUAGUAUUUCCCCCGUGGACAUCCUUCUCCUUCUGUCCUUGAUAAGAGACAUGAGCUUUUCUUUAAAAAUAAGGCAGAUUUUGCAGCCCUGAAGGCCCAUCUCAGGCUCAGGGGCUUCUCAUCUCAGGUGAGGCUGCUCCACUGAGGCAGCACAGCUUCUGCUUCUUUGGGGGAAGAUUAUUGCAGCAGAUGAUGGGGAUGGAACCGGCCUGGAGGUGGGUCCUGUGGGGCUGGAGACAGCCCAGCACUUCUGAUGAGCUCCUGAGGCAGGGAAGCCAAACAGGAGGAAAAGACACUUUGCCCAAGGGGCCUUGGGAGAUGAGAGAUGCUGCUCCCUCCCUCCUCUUCCCUGGCUCCACACACAGCCCCUGCACUCAGCCACUGGAGGGAGGUGUCCCCUGUGACAGAGCUUUUCCUUUAAUAUCCAGGAACAAAGCUGUGGAAGUGGAACCAAACCAGACAGGGCUCCACACUGCUGGAAUCUGUGUGAGCUGUAACCAUCCUGAGGAACUGGGCACAAACAGCACUGCACGACACCUGCACCUGAGAAAUAACUGACCUUUUUGCUCCUCCUCUGCAGCCACCCUUCCCUGCUGCCCUGCCCAGCCCUGGUGCCCGAGGUCCAGCACAGUUUGGUGUUGUCUGAUGUGUCCUCUGUGCAGAUCACACCUCUGCAGGGAGCAGGUAAAACCCACAGCACACCCUGGGCAUGGCUUCCCAGCGGGAUAAGAGUGAGAUCACUGGCUGUGCACAUCAUUUUCUGUCAGGAGUAAAUCUACACCAAAUCUAACGCCCAUACAGACUCCAGGGAACGGAAAGCACAGGACACCUGACUCGACCCUGUAAUCUCACCUCCCAAAAAGCCCAGAGGAAUAGGAAUUCACCAUCUCCCUCACACUGAGUGCAAAAUGUUGAGGCUGCUCAGGCCGUUUUGCCCCAGUGCCAGAGGCAAACCCUGCACUUUAUUCUGUCCUGGGCACGGGCAGAAUAAAGACUCCUGUGUGGAACAGGGAAAGAAUUAACCAGGAGCUUUGCUACUUAAGCCAGUAGAAAACUUCAUUUUUUCCAUCUGCAUUGUUGGUAAGGACAGUCCUGAAUGAAAACCACUGUAGUGCCAACCCAAGCCAGGGGGAUUGUGUCUUCCAGCCCCUCUGGAGGAAAUGGGGGAGAGCCAAGGAGGGGAAAACACAGCCCAUGCCUGCCCUGAGGACACUCAGUCACCCCACCAAAGCUUCCAAGAGAACAGGGUUUUCCUCUGUUCACUCACCCUCAGCAAACACACAGGACCUCGUUCUCCAGCAGCCUCUUAUCCCACAGGCAAGUGGUUUCCUGGGAAGUACAUCCUUCCUGCUGGGUAACUGCCACGCCAGCUCAAUCACUACCUGAUUUUCAAAGCGUUUUUCUGAUUUCCUCAGCCCUCAAUUUCCCUGUAAAGCUCCAAGCAAACACAGGCUGUGUUUGUCAGCUUGUUUCCAACAGGCAGGAGAGAGGAAAAGCAGAAAGUGGUAACUGCUCUGCUGGAUUAAUAAUGCACUUAAAGAACAGCAACAAUUCUCUUAGGGAAUGCUCCUGUCAAUUAAAAUACACAAUUUUCAAAUGCUGCAGCUUUUCACCUGUUCUCAAAGAGCUCAGGAGAAACCCCUCUAGGACACUGCUGCCAAAAUGCACACGCCCUCAGAGAGGGUUUGAGGCACACUCAGAUUGCUGAGUGGCCAAAGCCAUUGGUGGCUGCACACCCUCAGAGACAGCCAGUGCCAGCAGGGAAUUCCCUCCAGAAACCUCCUUUGAUAACAAACAUGGAAGAGAAAAAGGUCCUGGGCUGUGACAGCUCCGAAUUGUGGAGGCCACACAAAGACCACCAGCAUUUUAAAUCUGUAAGAUCUGGUGGAGUCUGCUAGAAAAUCAGGAGUGCAAAGCAACUCCAGACUUUUGGAACAAAAAAUAUCUGUACUCCCUGCACUGCAACUCUUUGUACACCAGGUUUUGCUUGAAUUUGUAUCUUGGUAACACCAAACCCAUGAGCUUUUGCCAACUACGAUGGACACCCUGGAACAAAGACUGGUGAGAGCCUCUGCUGCUGGGAACUGAAGUCCUCUGUUAAUGACCUUUUAAUUCAAACUGAGGAUGAGAGCACAUGAAAGAACUGGGUGGGUGGAUGCUCUUGCUUUACUCUCUUUCAGCAAAUAUUUGAUGACAUGAUUAGGAAACAUGAGUUUGUUCAAUGUGUUUUAAUUACAUUUUGGUUGGAGGAUUCCCUAUUCUGUGGAAGGGAGGAGACAAGCAGUGUUGGGCUGUGAGUGACACAGAUUUUACAAAAAAAAACCCCACUAACCAAACAGUUCCCAUCUUCUAAUUAGAUUUAUAAUUAAAACCACGUCAUACAGAGGGAAAAUAAAAAACACAGAUCUCAGCAAAAGGUUUUUGAAAUAUUUGGGAAUGGGUUGAAAAAAACCAUGAUAAUCUAAUGAAGGGGGAAGAAAGAAGGAAAUGGAAAGUGUUGGAACAGCUUAAAAAUAAAGCAGUCUGUGCCUAAGUGUUACACCUGCCAUUUCCCAGGUAAACAUUCCAGGCCUGGAAGCUGAGAGCAAGGAUGCAAACCCCCAAAAGAGUGCCUGAAGCAACAGUGCAAAUGAAAGAGGGACAACAAAAGCAGAUGGAAAAGGACCAAAAGACGUGGAAAGAACAGGGAGCAAAGGCAGCAGAGAGGGAGCAAAGGGCUCUGGUUCAGCCUCGUGGCUUUGGGCCUGGGCUGUGGGAGCAGGAGCUCAGCUCCCUGACUCCAGCCUCCACUGGCAGCUUGUCUGCAGCACCCUGGCAGUGCUUCCCUUCCCUUCCCAUCACUGAGGGGGGAAGCUGAAUUACAAGGACAAAGAGUUGGAAGGGGGAAUGUCUGUCAGUUCUCCAUCCCUGCCUCCUGCUCCCUCCUCCCCCGAAACAAAUACCAAGUGAAGCAAUUUGAAUUGGGUGACUUGCCAAGUUUCUCUUUGCAAAUGCAUUCACUGUCGCUGUAUGACAGAUGUCCACAUUUCCAUAGCCCUGAAACACUGCUCCUACAAAAAUUCCAGGUUAUCUCCAGCUAACUGAGGUGUGGCUGCCAGUCCCUGAGCUGGCUUCCCCGGCCCCACCAGGGCCAGCAGUCACACCCCCGGCAGGGCUGGGAGGACAGCCCUGUGCUCACCAGCUGAGGUCACUCCCUGACACAGCAGGUCUGUCACAGCCCAGGGAGUGUCAGUGGGAUCCAAAUCCAUGGUUGGGUCCCUGCCUGUUUGCUGAGUUACUGCUGAGUGUGCUCAUCACGGCACACACGGGCUCUGGGCUCUGCUGUGCAGGGCUGCUGGGACAAGGUGCAGUAGCAGGGAGGCUUUGAGGGUCAGCCAGGGCCCACGCCCCAUCCCUGGCUGGAGCACUGCUCACACCACACAUCUGUUGAAUGUUAGCUGCAAAACUCAAUCCACAACAACAGAAGAGCAGCUCUCAGGAACAUGGCAAACCCACACCCCAUCUAUGGCUCCUCCUUAGAGCCACCCCUCUGCCCUGAGCCACAGCUCUGCAGCACAGGGAGACAUUAACAGGCUCCAGUGGAUAUUCCCGUUUUUAUGCCUUUCCUAUUACCUGAUCAAACUAAAAUAUUGACUCAGUGGUGGUUCUGCAAUUCCCCUGACGAAGCAGCCCUUGGGUACAGCAGUGAGCUACAACUCAGGUUCCACUGGAACAGGGAGGGCAGCAUGUGAAACCAUUUUCUCUGGAAAUGUUCUUGCCACUAAAUAUUAAUAAAACCUUUACAUUAGAGGUCUGUGGGGUUUUGGAAAGAAAAAAACCGAAUUAAUACAUAUGGAGAGAGACAAGCACAGCAAAAGAAAUUGGGAAAGGACCACCCCUAAGUGACAGGGAAGGGAGAGAUCUGCCUGAAGAGGUGUCAGCAAAUGUGUCAGUGCAUUUUCAUGAGAGACAGAAAGCAGAAGAGGAGGAAAAGAAAGGAUAUUGAAAGCAGAGAGGGAAAAGAAGGAAAGUGUGGCAGGAGGAGAGGAAAAAGCCUGGGCCAAGGCCAGGGCUCUUCAGUGCAGACUGAGCAGAGGUGUCACAGGAGUGAGUCGUCACCUCUCUCCUACCAAGGGCAAUCCUGCAAUUCCCAACCCCUCCCAGUGCUCCAGCCCCUGCCAAAGAGGGGCUGUGCAAAAGGCAAAAGGCCAAAGGCCUCAAUCACUGAGGCCCUGCUGACAUUGGAAGGCACAGCACUGGAACUGAGCAAGGGCUGUGCCAGAAACCUUCCCCACUUGUGGAGCUCAUUGUAGCUUUGCAGUUUAUUUGUCAGGAGCACUUGGUUUGGCUUCAUGCCCAACAAAUUCCCAUUUCUCCCACUGUAUGGAAUGGAACCAGUGCCAGGAGCUGAUGCAUUCCCACCGUGCAUCCUUGUCUUUGGGACAGGGCCUGAUCACCACUGAGAGCACGUUCAGGGUGGUACUCACAGGAACAACCCCCAGAACUAACUUGGACAAAGGGAACGUCCAGGGGAUCGGAUGCGAAGUCGGAAUAAGCUGCAUUUCCUUCCUCUCCCCAGAGCCAUCCCUUUCUUCGGGAGGAAAGAUCCAAAAAUUAGGGUAGAGAGAAGUGAACUGCUCAAGGUCACCCAGCAAAGAGCUGCAGAGGCCCUUCCAACUGUCAUGGAUUUUAUGGAGUUAUGGAUUUUUGUAAGGCUUUUUUAAUGAAAUAUAAGAGAAAUAUGUUCUAGUAAGUAUGUGCAGAUCUGAAAAGUUACAAGUGUCUUCCACUCAUUUUUAACGAACUACUAACUUUUUUCUUAAAACCAUAUUUGAAAAACCCCUUAACUUCAUAUUUGUUUAUUUAUUUAAUUUAAUUUCAGUCUUGCAUUUACGUUUCUAAUAUAUCCCUCAAAGGAUUAAAAAUAAUAUAACACAGCUAUUA
Molecule: long non-coding RNA, 6622 nt
Organism: Pseudopipra pipra
Lineage: Eukaryota; Metazoa; Chordata; Aves; Passeriformes; Pipridae
Exons: 2
Source: RefSeq, a predicted model, not a curated record